UACAGAGGGUGCAAGCGUUGUUCGGAAUUACUGGGCGUAAAGCGCGUGUAGGCGGCCUGUUAAGUUCUGUGUGAAAGCCCUGGGCUCAACCCAGGAAGUGCGCAGAAUACUGGCAGGCUGGAGUGGCGGAGAGGAUGGCGGAAUUCCCGGUGUAGAGGUGAAAUUCGUAGAUAUCGGGAGGAACACCUGUGGCGAAGGCGGCCAUCUGGACGUCAACUGACGCUGAGACGCGAAAGCAUGGGGAGCAAACAG
RNAcentral lists this ribosomal RNA (252 nucleotides) under uncultured bacterium. RNAcentral's name for it is "partial 16S ribosomal RNA". It matches the Rfam family "Bacterial small subunit ribosomal RNA", at positions 524 to 775 of the family's 1533-position model. The record is from RNAcentral.